RNAcentral lists this long non-coding RNA (2821 nucleotides) under Homo sapiens (human). RNAcentral's name for it is "HSALNT0324580". Lineage: Eukaryota; Metazoa; Chordata; Mammalia; Primates; Hominidae. The record is from RNAcentral.
UCCUGCAAAGUGGCCCAGAAUGGUGGGGAUGUGUUUCCCAUGGGACAAGACAGGCGUGAGCUCCUGCAAAGGGGCCCAGAAUGGCGGGGAAGCGUUUCCUGUGGGACAAGACAGGCGUGAGCUCCUGCAAAGGGGCCCAGAAUGGCGGGGAAGCGUUUCCCGUGGGACAAGACAGGCGUGAGCUCCUGCAAUGGGGCCCAGAAUGGCGGGGGAGCGUUUCCCGUGGGACAAGACAGGCGUGAGCUCCUGCAAAGGGGCCCAGAAUCGUGGGGAAGCGUUUCCUGUGGGACAAGACAGGCGUGAGCUCCUGCAAAGGGGCCCAGAAUGGUGGGGAAGCAGAACUUCUGCCUCCAACUCACUUUCUCACCGUGCAACUGCGGAUCCAGAGGAAUCUCUGCAUAGUCCAAGCCUGGAGGGAGAGCGACUGACAGCCAUGGUCUGGUCACACGCCUGCCUGAGAGCUGCACGGGAGCCGGCGAGGAAAAGCCCUUGCUGCUUCCAGUGUAAGGUCUGCCUGGAUGAUCAAAACAGAUGGGAAGGAGCCAUGGUGGGGCAAUGAUCCUGUUCUGUUGCCUCCUGGAGAUUCAAGCAUUAUAUAUGGAGAGCUAUCAUCUCUACCCCUCCUCCCGGUUUACUCUCAUGGUGAGCUCAGGUAGAGUUUAGCAGGGAUGUUCAUGUGAAUAUCGUCUGUGUUCGUGAAUAGGCUCGUAUUUCAGUUGCAAGCAACAUGAUAACCUUAAAGUUCAGUUGCUGGUUAAUAACUGUCUUUUUUAUUAAGUUGAUACUGAACUUGAUGUCUUUUUGCAGUACUAACAGAGAUUACUGGUGCUACCUUUUAGCUUUUGAUCAUUUAUGCAAGCCUAGAUCUUUAGCUUUACGUUGUAAAAGGGGUAUUUUUUUCAACAUUUUUUUGGUGAGAGUAUUAAAGUUGACAUUAUUAUGAUCACAAGUGUAAACAGGUAUAUAAGGAAGUGGCGAUACAUUGUUAAGACUGCUGUUAUUCAUGAUGCUUAGCCAAAUGGAGGUGCAAUUAAUACUGCCAUGUAGAACUGGAAUAACGUCAGCUCAGGAACAGCAAGUUUAGAUAGUUUGACUGUAGUGAAUUUUCAUGAAUGGAAUAGUUAAUCAUUUUAGUGGAUCUUGGGGGUCAAUUCAGGCUGUUUUACUUGAUCCACUUCUUAUCAUUAUCCUAACAAAGUCUUCUGAGAUAACACAGCACUGAUAGUUGCUAACAGACUUUAUAUCUACCACGUUAUUAGCAUUUUAUCUUGAUACACUGAUAAAAUAAGCUUCAGGAAUACUUAAAAGAUUGCAAUGGCUUCCAGCUGCCAAAUGCUAGAUUUAAUUAUUUUUUAGGACCAACAUGAGGGUUUAGACACACCACUUGUGGUGCAGCACACAUGUAUUAUCCAAACUGAAAUUAGCAAUUCAACUGAAGUCCAUGUAGAGUCGAAAAAUGUGAAUAUUUGGAGAUGAUCUAGCUCACUUUAUUUUGUAGAAAAGAAAACAGAUUCAGGGAAAGGGCAUGCAUUGCCUAAGGUGAUUCAGCAGGUUUGGAGCAGAAAUGCAAUACAAUCUCUGUUCUUUUGCUUCUCAGAUCCAGAAUUUUUUCACAGUACUGAACUACUUAUGUUUCUGAUUCCUUAUUUUUUCUGUUUUAUAUUUUGCCAAUAUUGUCUUACCAAGAUCCUAUUCUUUACCCCAAAUAUUUAAAUUCAUUACCACUAUUGUCUCUUUAUAAGUAAAAGUACUAGUUGUUAUUAUAAAUGAUUAUUCGAUCACUUUUCAUUUUUUUUUGGGUCCAGCACAAAGUUAGUAACAAAUAAACAUUAUAGGCCUUGGCAAUCCAAGGGGAGCUCAAGUCCUCCAGGGCACGUCAGGAAAAGGCUAAACGACAGCUGAGCUUCGAGUGGACAGAAUACAGCUCUCAUACGGACUGUUGAGUAUUUGAUGUUCUUCAACAAUUUCAUUCAUCUUCAGUUUUUUCCUCUUUGAAGUGAUGGAUUUAGUCCUUGCUAUACUCGACUUUCAAGUUUCUUUUGAAAUAAUUAUAGAUUCACAGGAAGUUGCAAAAGGUACAGGGAUGUCUUAGGUACUCUUCACUAAUUCUCCCAACGGUGACAUCUCGCAUAGCCAUAGAGCAUAUCAAAACCUGGAAACUGACAUAGGUACAAUUCAGAAAGCUUGCUCAGAUCACAACCAUUUUGUACACAUUUGUUUUUGUAUGUAUGUGUGUGUGUAUUUGUGUGCAUGUGUUCUGUGCAUUUUUAUCUCGUGUAGAUCUCUGUAACUACAACCUCGACAGUCAAGAUACAGAACUGUAGCCUCACCGCCAGGCUCCAACUUGCAAUCUUUGUGGACACUCUGACACAUUUUCCUCCAUCCCUUCCCCUUGGCAACCCCAUAGUCUGUUCUCCAUCUUUACAAUUUUAUUUCUAUAAUUCAUAUAAAUGUAAUUGUACAAAAUCGUAUUUUUGAAGGGAAGAAACAAGUCACAGAUAUUUUUGUUAGCACUGCAAAAUAAUCUUUAAUGCUAAUUUAUUCUAUGUUCUAUUUGUCUCAAAAAAUGUGCUUUGUUCUUUCCCAUAUUUUCUGAUAUCAGGAUAGGAAAUCAAUAGCAAACAAAACAUAAUUCCAUUCAUUUUUUUCCACAGCUUGUUUCUCACUGCUGUUUCCUAACGGUUAUUGUUCCAUUUACUCUUUCUCUCUGUUUUCCAUCACAUAAAAGUAACUUUGUGUUCCUUAUCUCUUCUAAGAAAACUUGGUAAUGAGUCUUUAAUUGAAGCCCAGACCACCCUUGUUUUGAUUUUGUGUUAUGGGU